This 475-nucleotide ribosomal RNA is filed under the name uncultured bacterium. RNAcentral describes it as "bacterial SSU rRNA". It matches the Rfam family "Bacterial small subunit ribosomal RNA", at positions 64 to 524 of the family's 1533-position model. The record is from RNAcentral.
GAGCGACCUUUGGGAGCUUGCUCCCAAUGGUGAGCGGCGGACGGGUGAGUACACGUGGGCAACCUGCCUGUAAGACUGGGAUACUUCGGGAAACCGGAGCUAAUGACCGGAUAAUUCAUUUCCUCUCAUGAGGAAAUGCUGAAAGUCGGUUUCGGCUGACACUUACAGAUGGGCCCGCGGCGCAUUAGCUAGUUGGUGAGGUAACGGCUCACCAAUGCGACGAUGCGUAGCCGACCUGAGAGGGUGAUCGGCCACUCUGGGACUGAGACACGGCCCAUACUCCUACGGGAGGCAGCAGUAUGGAAUCUUCCACAAUGGACGAAAGUCUGAUGGAGCAACGCCGCGUGAGCGAUGAAGGCCUUCGGGUCGUAAAGCUCUGUUGUUAGGGAAGAACAAGUACCGGAGUAACUGCCGGUACCUUGACGGUACCUAACCAGAAAGCCACGGCUAACUACGUGCCAGCAGCCGCGGUAAU